UUCCUCUGUGGAUGUGUGUGUCAUAUAGGAAAAAUGUCACAGCUGGAGUGAGAAAUCUGGGAGUGGCAUGAAAAGCAAGAGCCUGGAUGACCCCGGAAGAAUGAAACAGUGAACAAGAAAGGGUAAGCCGCCAAGAAUGGAGGAGGACCAGAGCAGCAACCAGAGUGAAGCCAGCCCAGCUUGAAGUCAGGAGAGGCAGACGUGAGGAAGACGGGAACUCCCAGGGAGUCUCUGUGGAGAGGGGACAAGCCUUUCACCUUUGUUUAACCUCGUCUUUCGUGGUUUCAUCCCUCUGGAGUUCCCUGGGGAUGGGUGCCAGAUUCUAAAGAGGGACUUGGAGCAGCCGUGUGAUCAGACACUGGAGCCGGUCUUGUACUCCUGUUCAUGGGCUCUCAGGCAAUUAGGAUUAUGGUUGUUGCUGACUUAGUAGAAGUGGUUGUUGCUGAUUUAGUAGGUGUGAAGUGGCAUGCCAUUGCCACCAUCUGUGUUUCCUUGAUUGCAAGAAUGAAAGGAAAAGUUACCUUCAUUGAACUUUACUGCAUGCCAAGCACUGUGGUGAUGAAUUUUGUCUCUAUUUGCCCAUGAGGACCCUGGAAAAAGAAGAAAAAGAGGAAUUUUCCAGCAGGGCAUUCAGUGAUCAGCACUCGUAGAGCUGGAAACUAAUUUUGUCAAAAAUCUGUAAUUUGUAAUUGCAUUUGUAAUUUGUAUUGCAUUAUAUACAUGAAUACACUUCCUAAAUGCAUGUCCUGUUUGAUGGCUGACUUUUAACUUAAAAUUUUAAACUUUUAUUAUUUUAAAUUUUAAUUCUGGAAUUAUUUUAAAUUCAUAGCAAAGCUCAAAGAUGUAAAGGAUUGCUAUGCACCCUUUGCCUGAGGUUGCCUAUUGUCAACAUCCUAGGAAGACUAGCAACAAAACUAUUCAA
Non-coding RNA from Cricetulus griseus (Chinese hamster), 922 nucleotides. The record is from RefSeq and is a predicted model, not a curated record. NCBI's taxonomy places the organism in Eukaryota, Metazoa, Chordata, Mammalia, Rodentia, Cricetidae.